Molecule: ribosomal RNA, 253 nt
Filed under: uncultured bacterium
Lineage: Bacteria
Description: partial 16S ribosomal RNA
Rfam family: Bacterial small subunit ribosomal RNA
Source: RNAcentral
GACGGAGGGUGCAAACGUUGCUCGGAAUCACUGGGCGUAAAGGGCGCGUAGGCGGGAAUGUAAGUCGGGCGUGAAAUCCCCAGGCUCAACCUGGGAACUGCACUCGAAACUGCGUUUCUUGAGUAUCGGAGAGGAAAGCGGAGUUCCUGGUGUAGAGGUGAAAUUCGUAGAUAUCAGGAGGAACACCAGUGGCGAAGGCGGCUUUCUGGACGGUAACUGACGCUGAGGCGCGAAAGCGUGGGGAGCAAACAGG